CGGAUUUCCCUUUAACGAGUAUACAGUUUGAGAAAAUGGAAUAUGACAUUUCCAUGAGCAUAGAUCAAAUAGUCCGUUACUAAUCUUUGAAAAGCUCAUGGCUCAUAGAGAGAAUGCCAAUACUUUCAUAAGGUCCCGCAGAGCAAAACAAUCUUAGAGAAAAUGAAGCAGGAAGAAGGAACAGAGGCUAUGCUAGAAAUUAUUCUUGGAAAUUUUGAAAUAAUAUGGCGUAGAGAAAAUUUUUUUGCUUCUAAUAAGCAUAAUACAAUUAAAAGAAAAACUCAUUUUCUUGUCCUGCCUUAACAAGACAAAUUAGUUGCGGCAAAGCUUCAAAUGAUUUCGUCGCUCUACAUUACAAGUCGUCUAUUCGAUAUAGUGAAAAUAUAUGAUGAAUUAUAAUACAAAUAUGACAUAAUUUUCUUUGUCUCUAGAGACACGCACCAUGCGCAAAUUUUCCACCUGCAUCUUAAGCGUUCAAAAUUACAAACAGGCUAGUGAGCCAGUAACGUCUCUCGUUUUAAGGCGAAGCACUAUUGUGCGUUCAGGUCCAGCUAAAAUUAUCGCACACACUGCACAAUUUCCACUCAGUAGCAAUUAUUAUAACAGAUAUUACGUCAGAAUUCAAGGUAUCUGGUGCAAGUACGUCAUGGGCUGAUUGCAGCUCCUUCUCCCAGGAGAACAUUUUUCGGAGAAGAGCGAUUCUGUUACUUGCAACAAAGAAAAGCCGAAGAUACAAAAGUGGGCUAUUAUGCAGCCUUGCCAAAUUAGAGGACUAGCCGUGGAAUGCAAGAAUGAAUAGAAGUAACCCCGAAAACUACCUAUCGGUCCACUAUCGGAGGCAUGAAUAUCGAUGGCUCUACUGUGACGAGAUUUAUGAACGCUGCCUCUUUGAAUAUUGGCGCGGCCAAGACGGCAGCGCCUCGGAUAUUAAUACCUAAUAAGAAAAAACAAAAACCAAUAGGUAUUCAAUAUUUGCUAAGAACGCUAAUCCUGUAGGCAAUUAUGACAUCGUACGAAUCACAGCGAGUACAUUUGUUUGAAGUGAUACAACGCGAUUGGUGGAGUGUAUACAUCCUAUGCGACGUAAGAGUCAUGGCUUCAUUAUACAAUCGCGUGUCUUAUCUAACGCUAUCAGUGCAUCAUAGAGGGCAAGCUUGAGCCCCCUAUCGACGGGGUGUCUGCGUCAAAAUGAUCCAGGGGCACCCGCAUGCACACUAAGUUCCACUUUUU
This is a long non-coding RNA of Varroa destructor (honeybee mite), 1230 nucleotides long. NCBI's taxonomy places the organism in Eukaryota, Metazoa, Arthropoda, Arachnida, Mesostigmata, Varroidae. The record is from RefSeq and is a predicted model, not a curated record.